Molecule: ribosomal RNA, 120 nt
Filed under: Pteropus vampyrus (large flying fox)
Lineage: Eukaryota; Metazoa; Chordata; Mammalia; Chiroptera; Pteropodidae
Source: RNAcentral
AUCUACAGCCAUGCCACCGUGAACAAGCCCAAUCUCAUCUGAUCUUGGAAGCUAAGCACGGUUGGGCCUGGUUAGUACUUGGAUGGGAGACCAUCUAGGAAGACCAGGGGGCUGUAGACA